CUACGGGGCGCAGCAGUGGGGAAUAUUGGACAAUGGGGGCAACCCUGAUCCAGCAAUGCCGCGUGUGUGAAGAAGGCCUGCGGGUUGUAAAGCACUUUCAAUAGGGAGGAAAAGCUUUGGGUUAAUACCCCGAAGUCUUGACGUUACCUUUAGAAGAAGCACCGGCUAACUCUGUGCCAGCAGCCGCGGUAAUACAGAGGGUGCGAGCGUUACUCGGAAUUACUGGGGUAAAGCGCGCGUAGGCCGUUUGAUAAGUCAGAUGUGAAAGCCCCGGGCUUAACCUGGGAACUGCAUUUGAUACUGUCAAAGUAGAGUAUGGUAGAGGGUAGUAGAAUUCCUGGUGUAGCGGUGAAAUGCGUAGAUAUCAGGAGGAAUACCAGUGGCGAAGGCGGCUACCUGGACCAAUACUGACGCUGAGGUGCGAAAGCGUGGGGAGCAAACAGGAUUAGAUACCCCCGUAGUC
Molecule: ribosomal RNA, 463 nt
Filed under: uncultured bacterium
Lineage: Bacteria
Description: partial 16S ribosomal RNA
Rfam family: Bacterial small subunit ribosomal RNA
Source: RNAcentral